Molecule: small RNA, 398 nt
Filed under: Pongo abelii (Sumatran orangutan)
Lineage: Eukaryota; Metazoa; Chordata; Mammalia; Primates; Hominidae
Description: processed transcript
Source: RNAcentral
AUAUCAUGGAGAAAAAAGGUGAAUGUGACCUGCUGCUACAGAGUGUGUGUUGGGGUAAAAGCUGGAUAGCACCUGCCUGCCUUUCUCCCAGAUCCUAAUGAUGGCAGCCUGUAUACACUUGGAAGCAAGAAUAAUGAAGGCCUGACGAAACUUCCUUUUACCAUCCCAGAAUUGGUGCAGGCAUCCCCGUGCCGAAGUUCAGAUGGAAUCCUCUACAUGGGUAAAAAGCAGGACAUCUGGUAUGUUAUUGACCUCCUGACCGGGGAGAAGCAGCAGACUUUGUCAUCGGCCUUUGCAGAUAGUCUCUGCCCAUCAACCUCUCUUCUGUAUCUUGGGCGAACAGAAUACACCAUCACCAUGUAUGACACCAAAACCCGAGAGCUCCGGUGGAAUGCCAC